GACGAACGCUGGCGGCGUGCUUAACACAUGCAAGUCGAACGGAAAGGCCUCUUUCGGGGGGUACUCGAGUGGCGAACGGGUGAGUAACACGUGAGUAGCCUGCCCUUGACUAUGAGAUAACUUCAGUAAACUGGGGCUAAUACCGGCUAGGAGCUCCUGCUGAAUGGUGGGGGUUGGAAAGUUUCGGCGGUUGGGGAUGGAUUGGCGGCGUAUCAGCUUGUUGGUGGGGUAGUGGCUUACCAAGGCGUUGACGAGUAGCCGGCCUGAGAGGGUGAGCGGCGAUAUUGGGACUGAGAUGCGGCCCAGACACCGACGGGAGGGAGCAGGGGGGAAUAUUGAACAAUGGGUGGAAGCCUGAUGCAGCAGGGCCGUGUGCGGGAUGACGGCCUUCGGGUUGUAAACCGCAUUCGUUCAUGACGAAGCUUUGUGUGACGGUAGUGGGUAAAGAAGCACCGGCUAACUACGUG
Molecule: ribosomal RNA, 467 nt
Filed under: uncultured bacterium
Lineage: Bacteria
Description: partial 16S ribosomal RNA
Rfam family: Bacterial small subunit ribosomal RNA
Source: RNAcentral